AGAACGAACGCUGGCGGCAUGCCUAAUACAUGCAAGUCGAACGAAGGCUUCGGCCUUAGUGGCGCACGGGUGCGUAACGCGUGGGAAUCUGCCCCUUGGUUCGGAAUAACAGUUGGAAACGACUGCUAAUACCGGAUGAUGACGAAAGUCCAAAGAUUUAUCGCCAAGGGAUGAGCCCGCGUAGGAUUAGCUAGUUGGUGAGGUAAAGGCUCACCAAGGCGACGAUCCUUAGCUGGUCUGAGAGGAUGAUCAGCCACACUGGGACUGAGACACGG
RNAcentral lists this ribosomal RNA (275 nucleotides) under uncultured soil bacterium. RNAcentral's name for it is "partial 16S ribosomal RNA". It matches the Rfam family "Bacterial small subunit ribosomal RNA", at positions 26 to 329 of the family's 1533-position model. The record is from RNAcentral.